This is a small nuclear RNA of Ursus americanus (American black bear), 107 nucleotides long. NCBI's taxonomy places the organism in Eukaryota, Metazoa, Chordata, Mammalia, Carnivora, Ursidae. The record is from Ensembl.
GUGCUCGCCUCAGCAGCACAUAGACUAAAAUUGGAACGAUACAUAGAAGAUUAGUAUGGCUCCUGCACAAGGAUGACAUGCAAAUCCAUGAAGCAUUCCAUAUUAAA